AGUCAAUUCUCUCGAAUGGGGUUUGUUCGAGAGAUUUCAUAAUUUGUGACGGCUUCUGAUUCAUUUUCCGAGAUAACGAGAAUUUUCCAGAAUCUAUAUGGUUACUGAUGUGGAUUUCGUUUGCUAUUGUUGCAAGUAAUAGCUAAUGGUGCCAAUAUGAGUGAAAGUGGAUUUAAGGUGGAUCCUUCUUCUGUCAAUGCUUUGAAGGACCCUAAGAAGCGUCUAACAAAUUCUAUGGUUGCUAAAAGCGCAAGGGAAAAAAGACGAAAAAUUAUAGCGGAUAAAAAAACAAAACGAUGUCAAAAUUCUGAAUCUAAUCUAGUCUCCCCCAUUAAAGAAUCUAUCGGUACUCAUAUAGCAAGGGAAAAAAGGCGACGAAUUAUAGCGGCAAAAAAGGCAAUACGAUCACGAUGUACUACCUCUAAUCCAGUCUUCUCCAACAACAUUCAAAGCAGCCAACACACAAAAACCAAAGUACACAAAAAUUCAAGGUCAAUUGGUGGAAAACUACAAUAUGAUAUAAGUGAAGUACUGGAGCAGAAACCACAAGCGGAAAAUCGUCCUACGAAUGCCAAAAAGAAAUGAACAAGGAAUACAUUUAUUAGGUUCUAGUCAUUCGAUAUGGCUUUUACUUUGAAGCUAUAGUGGAAACCUCAAUCACUUAAGCUAAUUUCAGGAGAAAGAUGUUGAUCAACAAAGCAGAAGGAGAGCUGGAGCCAUCAAUGAUAGAUACUUAGAAAGGGAAUCUUCCAACCUCUCUGUUCUUUGUCUUAACAUACAUUGCUCCGGGAUGAUAAAUAAUCGCCACGGACUGGACCUUUGAAGAUCAACCAAUUCUCGAUAACGGCCUUGCUAGGUUAGUGUCGCGAUUGCAGCCACCAAUUUUGGAUCAGAAGUUUUGCCAUUGGCAGUAAAAGAUUACAAAGCACAAGCUCACCAGUCAGAUCAUUGGCCAAGUCCUUAUAUGUUAUGUAAACAAAUGCACUUUUGGCGUUGAGUCUCUCAUUUGGCGGUUCCACAUCUUCAAUAGUUUCUAUUGCCACUUUAACGAUCUUAAGUAGUAGUGGUAUGUGUACACUAUAUAAAGCUAAGAAAAACUGACAUAUGAAUGAUCUUUUCUUUUUAACCAGUUUUAUCAAUAUGAUUUUCUCCUAA
Arabidopsis lyrata subsp. lyrata is the source of this 1155-nucleotide long non-coding RNA. RefSeq lists it as uncharacterized. The record is from RefSeq and is a predicted model, not a curated record. The transcript is spliced from 9 exons. Lineage: Eukaryota; Viridiplantae; Streptophyta; Magnoliopsida; Brassicales; Brassicaceae.